AGAGCCGCAGCCUCAUUAACGAGUUCUCUUCCUUGUUGCGGUGAUGGGGGUCGUACAUGUUGUGGUGGAGAGUCAAGACCCAACGUGGUGAAACGUCGUCUAUGGGUUCAGCGCAUGGACUGGAGAAUUGUCCUUCAGGUAAUGAGAACUCUUCAUGAACGCUUGGCUUGCCAAAGUUACUCAUUUAUGUUUAAAAGUACUUUAAUGAAUGUUAAGUGAUUUACAGUUGCAAAAAUACUGCAAACCAAUAGUUAUUCUCUUAAAACUUCAUGUAUAUGUACUGCGUCAAAUUCUUGGGUUGAAAGUCUGAAUGUAUGAG
Labrus mixtus (cuckoo wrasse) is the source of this 319-nucleotide long non-coding RNA. RefSeq lists it as uncharacterized. NCBI's taxonomy places the organism in Eukaryota, Metazoa, Chordata, Actinopteri, Labriformes, Labridae. The transcript has 3 exons. The record is from RefSeq and is a predicted model, not a curated record.